GUUAUACGUAAGAAGCGAGCGUAUUCUGAUUUACUGGUGUUAUAGGAGCGUAGACCGCAACGACAAGUCCAGGAAGUGAGCCUAUUCGCUCAUCGAUAGGCAUGCCUUUUGUAACUGUGAUGCUAGAGUGCAGCAGAGGUAAGUGAAGUCCUAGUGUAGCGUGAGACGCGUAGAGAUUAGGAGGAACACCAGUCGCGAAGGCGGCGUACUGGACUGUAACUGACGUUGAGGCUCGAAAGCGUGGGGAGCAAACACGAUUAGAUACCCUGGUAGUGCACGCGGUAAACGAUGAAUACUAGGUGUUGGGGUCCAAAGGACUUCGGUGCCGUCGCAAACGCAAUAAGUAUUCCACCUGGGGAGUACGUUCGCAAGAAUGAAACUCAAAGGAAUUGACGGGGACCCGCACAAGCGGUGGAGCAUGUGGUUUAAUUUGAAGCAACGCGAAGAACCUUACCAGGUCUUGACAUCUCCCUGACAGCACUUGUAAUGAGUGUUUCCUUCGGGACAGGGAAGACAGGUGGUGCAUGGUUGUCGUCAGCUCGUGUCGUGAGAUGUUGGGAUAAGUCCCGCAACGAGCGCAACCCUUAUGAUCAGUAGCCAGCAGGUAAGGCUGGGAACUCUGAUGAGACUGCCGAGGAGAACUCGGAGGAAGGUGGGGAGGACGUCAAAUCAUCAUGCCCCUUAUGAUCUGGGCUACACACGUGCUACAAUGGCGGAAACAAAGGGAAGCGAAGCCGUGAGGUGAAGCGAAUCUCAGAAAAUCCGUCUCAGUUCGGAUUGUAGUCUGCAACUCGACUACAUGAAGCUGGAAUCGCUAGUAAUCGCAAAUCAGCAUGUUGCGGUGAAUCCGUUCCCGGGUCUUGUACACACCCCCCGUCA
Molecule: ribosomal RNA, 879 nt
Filed under: uncultured bacterium
Lineage: Bacteria
Description: bacterial SSU rRNA
Rfam family: Bacterial small subunit ribosomal RNA
Source: RNAcentral